RNAcentral lists this unclassified non-coding RNA (346 nucleotides) under soil metagenome. RNAcentral's name for it is "partial contains 5.8S ribosomal RNA, internal transcribed spacer 2, and large subunit ribosomal RNA". The stretch from base 1 to 120 matches the Rfam family "5.8S ribosomal RNA", at positions 35 to 154 of the family's 154-position model. The record is from RNAcentral.
GAUGAAGAACGUAGCGAAAUGCGAUAAGUAAUGUGAAUUGCAGAAUUCAGUGAAUCAUCGAAUCUUUGAACGCACAUUGCGCCCGCCAGUAUUCUGGCGGGCAUGCCUGUCUGAGCGUCAUUUCAACCCUCAUGCCCCUAGGGCGUGGUGUUGGGGAUCGGCCAAAGCCCGCGAGGGACGGCCGGCCCCUAAAUCUAGUGGCGGACCCGUCGUGGCCUCCUCUGCGAAGUAGUGAUAUUCCGCAUCGGAGAGCGACGAGCCCCUGCCGUUAAACCCCCAACUUUCCAAGGUUGACCUCAGAUCAGGUAGGAAUACCCGCUGAACUUAAGCAUAUCAAUAAGGAGGA